UCUUGUCUUGUGGCAUCUAUUUGGUCUGAGAGAGGACAUCGGACGUUGAAUUCGGAAGCGGGGGGAUCAUUGGCGGAGUACGAAGCAAUUCGGAAGCGGCGUGGCGUAACGAGAAGGCGGCGCCGGAGAUUCUUCAGUACGAAGGAGCUCUUGUUGAAAGAGCCAAAGAACAGAUCGAAUUUUAGUGGAAGAAACAAUUGAGGAUUGAUGUGGAAAAUGGUAAAGACCCUUUGGACAGAACCCAGUUUCUACUCAGAUCUUAUCUCAGGGUUAGGCUUCUCCCAAGAUAGACAAGUUUUUGUUCCACAACCUCAUGUCAGAAUACAUCGACAGGUGUGCUGAUGAUUUAGCAAAGCUUUUGGAAGAGACUGUACUGCUUAAGUUGCCUGACAAUUAUCACUCGGUUCUCAACCAAUCCCUUAUAAGUGAAGUGGACGAUAUGGUGCCCCUGCCGCAUUUGGACACCUUUGUUGUUUGUCGAAGCAACAACUUUGUCUCCCUCAGUCUAUGAAGAGUGAGAGAAUUCUCUUUCCAUACACAUUUAUACACACAACCUUUCUGUAAUCUAUGUGUGGGUUUUUGCCUUUACUUACUUUGUGAUACGUGAUCAUGGUUAGGUAGAUUAGAGUAUGGUUAGGACAUUUUGGUUUUCAUAUUUUCCUAUAUUUUAAAGUGAUUUCUUUUAUGCAUUAGGGUUAUGAUUAAGUUGUAUGAAAACCUAUAUAAGGUCUAUUAUGAUUAAUAAGAUUGGAAGCCCCAAGAAUUAACCUUAAUCUCAAGAGAGAAUUAGGGUUAAGAGGGAGCUAAGCUUUCAAUCGUUUCUUAA
This is a non-coding RNA of Camelina sativa (false flax), 826 nucleotides long. The record is from RefSeq and is a predicted model, not a curated record. NCBI's taxonomy places the organism in Eukaryota, Viridiplantae, Streptophyta, Magnoliopsida, Brassicales, Brassicaceae.